AGCGGCGGAUGGGUGAGUAACACGUGGGGAACCUGCCCCUAAGUCUGGGAUACCAUUGGGAAACAGGUGCUAAUACCGGAUAAUAAAGCAGAUCGCAUGAUCAGCUUUUGAAAGGCGGCGUAAGCUGUCGCUAAGGGAUGGCCCCGCGGUGCAUUAGCUAGUUGGUAAGGUAACGGCUUACCAAGGCGACGAUGCAUAGCCGAGUUGAGAGACUGAUCGGCCACAUUGGGACUGAGACACGGCCCAAACUCCUACGGGAGGCAGCAGUAGGGAAUCUUCCACAAUGGACGCAAGUCUGAUGGAGCAACGCCGCGUGAGUGAAGAAGGUUUUCGGAUCGUAAAGCUCUGUUGUUGGUGAAGAAGGAUAGAGGUAGUAACUGGCCUUUAUUUGACGGUAAUCAGCCAGAAAGUCACGGCUAACUACGUGCCAGCAGCCGCGGUAAUACGUAGGUGGCAAGCGUUGUCCGGAUUUAUUGGGCGUAAAGCGAGCGCAGGCGGAAAAAUAAGUCUAAUGUGAAAGCCCUCGGCUUAACCGAGGAACUGCAUCGGAAACUGUUUUUCUUGAGUGCAGAAGAGGAGAGUGGAACUCCAUGUGUAGCGGUGGAAUGCGUAGAUAUAUGGAAGAACACCAGUGGCGAAGGCGGCUCUCUGGUCUGCAACUGACGCUGAGGCUCGAAAGCAUGGGUAGCGAACAGGAUUAGAUACCCUGGUAGUCCAUGCCGUAAACGAUGAGUGCUAAGUGU
Molecule: ribosomal RNA, 743 nt
Filed under: uncultured bacterium
Lineage: Bacteria
Description: bacterial SSU rRNA
Rfam family: Bacterial small subunit ribosomal RNA
Source: RNAcentral